Long non-coding RNA from Etheostoma cragini (Arkansas darter), 190 nucleotides. RefSeq lists it as uncharacterized. The transcript is spliced from 4 exons. The record is from RefSeq and is a predicted model, not a curated record. NCBI's taxonomy places the organism in Eukaryota, Metazoa, Chordata, Actinopteri, Perciformes, Percidae.
GGACAUCUUAACCAUAUCUAAUAAUGAAAUGUUAACCAUGGGUAACGCUUCUUUAAGUAGCCUCGUUGGGAUGGGGUCUAAGAGACAGGUAGUGAGCUUAGCUUUAACAUUGUCUUUAGGAUAAAAGCAGUCUAAGUAUAUGUCAGGUCUUGUCUUUCUUUCUAGCAGUCCUGCAUUUAAAGAUGAACCA